GCCGAGGAAGGUUCUCGUCGCUCUCCCUGCUCCCCGCCCCUCUCCCGGGUGCAGCCGCGCUCGGGGGAGGCCCUCCAUCCGCCCUCCGCUGCCGUAGCGCCCUCCUCGGCCUCCCCUCCCCGAUGAAGAACCAGCGGGGACUUCUUUCUCCAGCAGUAGCACUAAAUCCACCAGUCUGACGAGGCUGUGCUCAGCUGCAGGGAGGCAACGUCUCCAGGCUCUGGCCCAGGGCCCCAGUUUGGAAAGGACCUCACUGGAAAGUGUUCUACCGAAAUCUGGUGCAACUCUGAUAAAACGUCCCAGCCCAUCCUGUAAAGACUGUUACUGAAAAAUCUUGAAAUAAUCACAGGGGAAACGACAGGAACUCAGGCCUCCCUUCCCACCCAAGCGAGACACUCCCUGUCUCUUUUUCCCUCCAGCCCACUAAGCACGCAAGGAUCUGAUGGAAAGGGCAAGAGUUUCAGCAGCAGAAAAUCUGAGCCAGAGCCACAGCAAAGGCUGGCUGAGACGGAGCUGCCCCUGUGCCAGUUCCGAGGCAGGAGGGCAGCAGGCUGCUGAGGUGGGGUUGCAGCAGUGUGUUAAGAGUCCACACUAAACUUGUGGGAGUAUGGAAAUGUAGGAUCAAGUUCAGGGAUUGCAGUAGCAGACAAAGGAGGAACAAUUCCUUUGGCCUGAGUGACAUUUCACUUACAUGUGCUAACUGUAAAUCUUAUCUGGAAUCAUGAGAAGCUUUAAUGUGGUUUUCCUCAUGUAUGUUUAAGAACACAUCCAAUUAACAGAAAUACAGCUGCUGAAAUGCCUGUUUUAUAAGAGGGCAGGGCUGAGCAGGUUAAAAAUGUAUAGGACUGGAUUAUAUUAGUCCCUGUUGAUGGGGCUUUCAGCUCUACUGGCCCAAUCCACGUAUCUCUUCUUUCAUCAGUGGGUUAGAUACAAAGAAUCCACUCUCACUAUUUUCUUGAGCAGGUGAAGCUGUUGUGUUUGAUUUUUACCUUGUGGUUUCUAACAAGUCAGUUCCUGGUGAGACAGUCUGAAUCGGGCUCUUGUUUGAUACCAAGAAGGUAAUGAGGCUUAAACUGUACAAACUCUGCAUGCUCUUCUAUUUGCACAGAGUGGUGAUCUGUGGCCAUAUAUAGUGCAGUGCAGUGAAGGUUUUAGGAGCUGUGUUCCUUGCUCCCUUAGAUUCACUGGGGAAAACAAACAAACAAAAACCCUUUAAUCUGUGGAAUUAUACAGUCCAGUGACAGGAGGAUACAAAUGGGAAGUCUGAGGAGAUGAGGUGCCCUCAGCAAGGCUGUUUCAAGGCUUGGUGGCUGGCAUGUACCCCCUUCUCCAGGCGUCCUACUGGACUCUGGUGCCAUCAGCUCUAGUCCCAGGCAGCAGCAGGCCACCGGGGCUUGGGUGGGUUUGCUCCCUGUACCUCUGCAUGGCUCUGGGAUUCAUAACGACAUUCCAGACUCUGAAGAAAGCAUCUAAAGCUUGUUCAGCCUGUAUGGAGGAGCUGAAGUUGCCACAGGGCAGGGAAGGGACCGCCAAGGGAUCUGGACAGUCAUGGGAAAAGCCAUGGUGAGGAGGAACAAGCAGGCCUCGCUUCAGUCUGUGGGAGCCUGCGCUCACUCUUGGCCUGUAAAUGACUUGUGGCAGGCACUGUCAUCCCUUGUGAGACACGGUGGGUGGUGCCGGCCACAUAAAAUACAUCUAAAUCCCAGCUCAGUCCAGACUGUAAAACGGGCUUAAAGUGAAAACAGAUUGAGACCAAGGAAGGAGAGAGCUUCUUAGGCUGCAGACGGCCACCAUUUAGCAGCUCCCUCUGGGCCUGUGUCAGCGGGCCACCCUUGCUCCUGAGCCCUGCUUUGCUCCUCGCCCAGUGCAGGAGCUAUAACGCAGCUCCUGUUAUAACUCGGGCAGUGAUGGGCAGCUGCAGCUGGGCCAGGAGCAGGGAGCUUUGCUGGCACCGCUCUGUGCAGUGCUGCUGUCUGCAGCGCUGGGCCAGCGCCUUAUGGAGACGUUGCCCCUUUUCAGCUGUUCGUUGCCUCUCUGAUGCCAGGGAUGCCCUCGGAUCUGCUGUCAGCUCGGGGCAGGCUCUGCAGGAACGCGCUAAUCCCCUGCAGGAAAGUUCCCGUGGCUCAGUUCAAAUACCCGGUUUGAACUGGUUAAUCUGACCCGGUCGGUCUGUCUGGCGGAGCACCGACACGCUCUGCGCUGCCGCGGGUGAAGGUCGGCUUGAGCUCGAGGGUGGUGACGGAGAGCAGCUGGUUCUGCAGCUUCCAAGAGAGACAUCUGCUCACAGUCUUAAAAUCAUUUAGCCCAAAUCCCGUGCAGUUCAGGGCUGUUUCCUGUGUAGCUUUUAGUGCAUUUUGUCCUUCCUUAGUUUAAAACAGGAUUUCUAUUGUUUGUCUGGUGAGGCUAGUAAAAGCUAGGAGGAUAUUCCUCUUAAAUUACUCCUUUAUAUCUAAUUAUACACCUGGGUAGACAAGUAGUUUGUCCUGAAGAAGCAGAUGGGGUAAAUAUGGGACUGUGUCUGAAUUCUGCAGAGUAACUCACAGAUGCCAUUUUCAGCACGAGCUGCUUUUGCUGCAGCACUGUUCAUCUUGCUCAGGAGAAAUUUCAGGAAGUUGUGCGGAGCAAAAGGUUGCAGCUUGGCUCCUCAUUGUUUUUAUUUCUCCUACUCUUACAUUAAGCAGAAAAACAAGGGAAAAAAUCCUCUCCCUGGGACUCAUUCCCAUGUUUCUCAUGAACUCAGAGUUCCUCUGCCUGGAAUCAAACAUCUAUGAAAUGAAAACUGAAGGAAGAAAGAAUGCACCGGGGAAAGACCAUGUUCAGCGCAGUGCACAUUUUUCAUGCUGGACUGAAAUUUAUUUCUCCUAAUUCCAAAACAUUCAACUUCAGUGCUCAGGAAGAUUCACCUAAAACUGUUUUCAUAUAAAAUAUAAAAAUUAAACUUGGCAGUACUUUUUUCAGUCAUCUAACGUGGUACUUCAUCUCCUGGCCUGGGACGACAUCUGGCUGGCAUGUUCUUCUCCACACCCCAGGAAGAGGACUCUUGUUAGCCGGUUACUGCAGUUCUCAGCAUUAAAACACAAUGAAUCAGACUGCAGAGUAGCAUGAGACUGAUUUAAAAAUAAUGAGAUUUAUGUAUUGAGUUGAGCUUUGAGUUCUUUUUAUUUGCUUUCUGGCUUGGAAACCUUUAGAAUGUGUGAUGAGUAUAUUUUUUGCUUUUCAUCAUGAUUGUGAAUGUUUUAAAAACACACACACAAAAAGCGAGCAGACAAAUUAAAUAGAUCCUUACCUUAUAAUUGAGAAAUCCUGAAUAAAUGAUUUCGGCUUUCACAAUCA
Lagopus leucura (white-tailed ptarmigan) is the source of this 3333-nucleotide long non-coding RNA. RefSeq lists it as uncharacterized. Lineage: Eukaryota; Metazoa; Chordata; Aves; Galliformes; Phasianidae. The record is from RefSeq and is a predicted model, not a curated record. The transcript has 3 exons.